This 2399-nucleotide long non-coding RNA is filed under the name Apteryx haastii (Great spotted kiwi). Its description in RNAcentral is "lncRNA (ENSAHAG00000003058.1)". The record is from RNAcentral. Lineage: Eukaryota; Metazoa; Chordata; Aves; Apterygiformes; Apterygidae.
CUAAAAGGAAAGCUCCUUCCACUUCAAGGGGCCCUUGCCCUGAGCUCCCUCUUGAAAAGUCCCCUCAGGAAUGUGCUCAGGGUGAGCUGGAGCUGUGAGCAACCGUGACCCAGACCCACGCAACACCUUCUCAGCAGGAGAAUGAACCUGCCCUGCUGGGGGUCUCUCCUCUCACCCAGAGCUUCUCCCCACAGUGCCGUGGGGAGUUCCCUGGGCAGGCUGAGUGCUGACCCUUGCAGGCGGCAGAGUCACUGCCCCAGGCACACAGCACCCUGCGGCACAGGGAUACUGCUCUGAAUUACAGCUCUGCGCUGACCUGGGUGCAUUCCCUGGCUUCACAACCCCAGAAGUCACCCCUGGGAUAAGGUAGCAGCAUGCCCUGUCCCUGUGAUGGUGUAGCAGGAAUCCUGCUCUGAAGCAUCUUCUCCUCCUCAGCACAAGAGAAGUCAGGAGAGAGAUCCUUAAGAACACAGUCGUGGGAUGGGCUGGGUUCAGAAGACCCCUCCAGGAACCUCAGUAGCAUUGCCUUGCAGCCAGAGAAUUACUGUGUCAGGAGCUGUGAAGAUUUCUUCCACAAGGAGCUCUCUUCUCUCUUAAGAGGAAUGGUUAUAGUAGACUUGUUGAUUAAUAUAAACAGUUUGUUUAGUUGGCUACAGUUACCAAAUACAAACAAUGCCACAGCCUGUAAUGCUGCAAUGCAGGUCCUAAAAGCAUUUCAGCACUUCUAUUUGUACAUCUGUGCCUUUUCCUUAAGGAGAAAGCUAAAGCAUAAAUAGACUUGGUGCUGUUCUGUUCCUUCUUACUUUUAGGCAGGAAAUCUGUUCUGUUGUUUGGCAUUCCUGUAUUACAGCAUCUGGACCUUUAGGAGAAGCACCUGAGAGCUGUUAAAGUAUGGACAGUCAUGCUACGUGGUUGGAUGCUCAUCUGCCACAUAAGAGGAUUAUCUCCCUUCGGGUUAUGUGAUGGUUGCCUCUGUGGUCAUCUACCAGCAAUGUCUAGUCAGUGCCUGCAUCUACUGCUAGCACUUUCCCCCUGGGGACCAGAACUGCCUGAGUGUUGCUCACCUGAUCAGACACCCAGAGAAAUGCAUCCUGGGAAAGGAUGCUUGCUGCUUUGGUCAUGGGGGGGGGGGGGGGCCUUGAGAGCAGAGGGCUGUGCUGGCUGGGAGAGGAGAGGAGGCCUUGGAGUUGACAGUUUCCUCUCACACUUUGAGCAUGACUCUGCUGCCUGGAGACGUCCCUGCAGGGAGCUGUUUCUCCAUCCCCACGUCUCUCCCCUCUCAGUGCUCACACACCCCAUCCCACCCACUGGGUGCUCAGCUCUGCCCUGCAGAAACCUCCCGAGGGCAGGGCACUGCCAAUUGACACCUCCGUGUUUGCAGGUGCUACGGAGUAGGUGAGACAAACCUUGCUGAGGCUGGAAAGGGGAUGCUGGUUCUGUCCUUAGGCUGAGGGGCGGAUGAAGGCAUUUGCUGAGUCCCUCCCAGAACUGAUCCUCUCUCAGUGUCACUGUUUUCGAGCCUCCGUCCUCUGUCUAAACCUGACAGAGCCAAUCCCAUUUCACCCAACCAAAAGAGCAUCAAAGUGAAAGCACAGACUCAGGACAGCUCCUUCCCUUUCAUAUAAUCCCUGCCUUGACCUUCCUUUUGGAAAGGCCCCUCCAGAAAUGCCCUGGGAGUGAGCUGGAGCUGUGGGCAGCCCUGACCCAUGCAGCAUCCUCCUGAGAGAAGGCUCAACCUGCCCUGACGGGGGUCUCUCCUCCCACCCAGAGCUUCUCCCCACAGCACUGUGGGGAGCUCCCCGGACAGGCUGAGUGUGGCAGAGUCACUACUCUGGGCGCACAGCACCCUGCAGCACAGGUACACUGCUGCGAAUUACAGCCCUGGGCAGACCUGUCUGCACACCCAGUCUUCAUACCUGUUCAGUGUCCCUGGGAGAAGGUAGCAGGAUGCCCAGUAGCAUUGUCCUGCAGCCAGAGACUUACCGUGUCAAUGACUGUGAAGAUUUCUCUCACAAGGAGCUCUCCUCUGUCCUCCCACUCCACACUGCCUUUCAUGUCUCUCUGCCUUGUCUCAUCUUCUGGCAGCAAUUGAAAGCAGUGUCCGCAGCCCUGCUGCUCUUUGCAGAGGAGCUGCUCCUGCACACAGCUGUCUCUGGGCAGUGCUGACAGGUUGCCAUGAGCUCCCUCCAUCCCCAGAACCUGGCCCUGCUCAGGAGCAGAGGUCCAGGUGAAGGCAUGGAUUUCUCUGUCCCUUGUGCUCCCUCCUCCUGGGAAAUGUUCCCUGAAGUAGACUAAAAUAAUCAGCUAUUGUCCUUUUCUAAAGAGUGCAGAGAGACUGAUUCCAGCAUUGCAAUUUGUCUUAUCAGAGAAAGGUGUCUUAUCUAUGAAAGGUGGAAACA